This 253-nucleotide ribosomal RNA is filed under the name uncultured bacterium. Its description in RNAcentral is "partial 16S ribosomal RNA". It matches the Rfam family "Bacterial small subunit ribosomal RNA", at positions 524 to 776 of the family's 1533-position model. The record is from RNAcentral.
UACAGAGGUCUCGAGCGUUGUUCGGAUUCAUUGGGCGUAAAGGGUGCGCAGGCUGUUGUGUAAGUCGGAUGUGAAAUCCCGGGGCUCAACCCCGGAACUGCAUUCGAUACUGCAUGACUAGAGGACUGGAGAGGAGAUUGGAAUUUACGGUGUAGCAGUGAAAUGCGUAGAUAUCGUAAGGAAGACCAGUGGCGAAGGCGAAUCUCUGGACAGUUCCUGACGCUCAUGCACGAAGGCUAGGGGAGCAAACGGG